Molecule: small nuclear RNA, 103 nt
Organism: Gorilla gorilla gorilla (western lowland gorilla)
Lineage: Eukaryota; Metazoa; Chordata; Mammalia; Primates; Hominidae
Source: Ensembl
ACUUUAUAGUCUUAAAGUACAUUUUGUUGGAACUAUACAUAGAAGAUUAGCAUUGCCUCAGUGCAAGGAUGACACACAAAUUCAUAAAGCAUCCCAUAAUUUU